CGCCUGUUUAACAAAAACAUGGCUCCUUGGUUGUCUGAGUGGAUGAGGAGUCGGACCUGCCCGGUGACUUACGGGUUAAACGGCCGCGGUACACUGACCGUGCAAAGGUAGCACAAUCACUUGCCUCUUAAUUGGAGGCUGGUAUGAAUGGUUUGACGAGGGCUGAGCUGUCUCUUCUGAAAUAUUUAAAAAUUAACUUCUAGGUGAAAAGGCCUAGAUUAGGCUGAGGGACGAGAAGACCCUGUUGAGCUUUAGUGUGGAGUGAAGGUUCUAAUUUCUAGUUGUACUAGAGAAUUUAAAUUCAUUUUUACAUCUUUAGUUGGGGUGACUGGGGAACAUAGGUAGCUUCUCUGUUUUUAGUAAAUUAAAUUUGGUCUGCUGACUGAUGAUCCGGCAUUGUCGAUUAUCGGAAAAAGUUACCACAGGGAUAACAGCGUAAUCUUUCUGGAGAGUUCACAUUGAAAGAAGGGUUUGCGACCUCGAUGUUGGAUUAAGGUGUCCUGAGGGUGUAGCAGCUUUCGUUGGUUGGUCUGUUCGACCAUUAAAACCUUACAUGAUCUGAGUUCAGACCGG
RNAcentral lists this ribosomal RNA (573 nucleotides) under Haliotis ovina. RNAcentral's name for it is "partial 16S ribosomal RNA". It matches the Rfam family "Bacterial large subunit ribosomal RNA", at positions 1797 to 2619 of the family's 2925-position model. Lineage: Eukaryota; Metazoa; Mollusca; Gastropoda; Lepetellida; Haliotidae. The record is from RNAcentral.